GGGAGAAAGCAGGGGACCUUCGGGCCUUGCGCUAUCAGAUGAGCCUAGGUCGGAUUAGCUAGUUGGUGGGGUAAUGGCUCACCAAGGCGACGAUCCGUAACUGGUCUGAGAGGAUGAUCAGUCACACUGGAACUGAGACACGGUCCAGACUCCUACGGGAGGCAGCAGUGGGGAAUAUUGGACAAUGGGCGAAAGCCUGAUCCAGCCAUGCCGCGUGUGUGAAGAAGGUCUUCGGAUUGUAAAGCACUUUAAGUUGGGAGGAAGGGCAGUAAAUUAAUACUUUGCUGUUUUGACGUUACCGACAGAAUAAGCACCGGCUAACUCUGUGCCAGCAGCCGCGGUAAUACAGAGGGUGCAAGCGUUAAUCGGAAUUACUGGGCGUAAAGCGCGCGUAGGUGGUUCGUUAAGUUGGAUGUGAAAUCCCCGGGCUCAACCUGGGAACUGCAUUCAAAACUGACGAGCUAGAGUAUGGUAGAGGGUGGUGGAAUUUCCUGUGUAGCGGUGAAAUGCGUAGAUAUAGGAAGGAACACCAGUGGCGAAGGCGACCACCUGGACUGAUGCUGACACUGAGGUGCGAAAGCGUGGGGAGCAAACAGGAUUA
RNAcentral lists this ribosomal RNA (601 nucleotides) under uncultured Pseudomonas sp. Its description in RNAcentral is "bacterial SSU rRNA". It matches the Rfam family "Bacterial small subunit ribosomal RNA", at positions 198 to 780 of the family's 1533-position model. Lineage: Bacteria; Pseudomonadati; Pseudomonadota; Gammaproteobacteria; Pseudomonadales; Pseudomonadaceae. The record is from RNAcentral.